Molecule: non-coding RNA, 21 nt
Filed under: Arabidopsis thaliana (thale cress)
Lineage: Eukaryota; Viridiplantae; Streptophyta; Magnoliopsida; Brassicales; Brassicaceae
Also listed under: 2 other names
Source: RNAcentral
CGGGAGUAACUAUGACUCUCU